RNAcentral lists this ribosomal RNA (803 nucleotides) under uncultured bacterium. Its description in RNAcentral is "bacterial SSU rRNA". It matches the Rfam family "Bacterial small subunit ribosomal RNA", at positions 8 to 811 of the family's 1533-position model. The record is from RNAcentral.
AGAGUUUGAUCCUGGCUCAGGAUGAACGCUGGCGGCGUGCCUAACACAUGCAAGUCGAACGAAGCACUUAAGACGGACCCUUCGGGGGAAGGUUUAAGUGACUGAGUGGCGGACGGGUGAGUAACGCGUGGGCAACCUGCCCUGUACAGGGGGAUAACAGUUGGAAACGGCUGCUAAUACCGCAUAAGCGCACAGUGGGACAUCCCACGGUGUGAAAAACUCCGGUGGUACAGGAUGGGCCCGCGUCUGAUUAGCUAGUUGGCAGGGUAACGGCUUACCAAGGCAACGAUCAGUAGCCGGUCUGAGAGGAUGAACGGCCACAUUGGAACUGAGACACGGUCCAAACUCCUACGGGAGGCAGCAGUGGGGAAUAUUGCACAAUGGGGGAAACCCUGAUGCAGCAACGCCGCGUGAGUGAAGAAGUAUUUCGGUAUGUAAAGCUCUAUCAGCAGGGAAGAUAAUGACGGUACCUGACUAAGAAGCUCCGGCUAAAUACGUGCCAGCAGCCGCGGUAAUACGUAUGGAGCAAGCGUUAUCCGGAUUUACUGGGUGUAAAGGGUGCGUAGGCGGCAAGGCAAGUCAGAUGUGAAAGACCGGGGCUCAACCCCUGGACUGCAUUGGAAACUGUUAGUCUUGAGUGCCGGAGAGGUAAGCGGAAUUCCUAGUGUAGCGGUGAAAUGCGUAGAUAUUAGGAGGAACACCAGUGGCGAAGGCGGCUUACUGGACGGUAACUGACGUUGAGGCUCGAAAGCGUGGGGAGCAAACAGGAUUAGAUACCCUGGUAGUCCACGCCGUAAACGAUG